AUCACUUCAACGAAAUCUAUCUCAAAUAUUGAAAAAUGGCUUCAGUCUUCAAUAUUAUUACCGUAUUCCUUGUUCUGACUCUUGCUUGCGUCAUCCAAGGUCAAGGUUUAAGGUUUUAUGGAGACGAUGAUAGAUUCGAUGAUCUGUAUGAUGACCUGUAUGAUAGAUUCGAUGAUUUGUAUGACGAUGAUCUGUACGAUGACCUGUAUGAUGACUUAGACGACUUUUAUGAAUUUGACGAUGAUAACUUCUAUGGCAGAGAUCCAUUUGGUUUCAAUCCACGUUUUGGUUUGGGCUACCAUAAUUUCCGUUUUGGUGGCAGGAAUUUUGGUUUUGGAAAAUAGUUUAUUAAAUUUUUGACUGUGAUAUAA
Molecule: long non-coding RNA, 371 nt
Organism: Patella vulgata (common limpet)
Lineage: Eukaryota; Metazoa; Mollusca; Gastropoda; Patellidae
Exons: 3
Source: RefSeq, a predicted model, not a curated record